CUGUGUGGCUUUAGUUCUUUCCCAACUAUAAAACAAUAGUCUCUGCACCGCCCCCUUCUCGUUCUCUCUCAAUUUUUGAUCCUCCAGCUCUUGUUGUUCUUGAACGGAUCCAAAAUCCAAAAUCUAAAAUCCUAGCUAUCUUUUAUGCUAGAGAUAUAGGGAGAGAGAGAGAGAGAGAGCUUGAGGGAUCUGGAUCAUUGAAUCUCUACCAUGGAACGGAUCAUCGGCGGUAAGUACAAGCUCGGCCGCAAGAUCGGCAGCGGAUCGUUUGGUGAAAUCUUCCUCGCUACGCAUAUCGAUACAUUUGAGAUCGUCGCCGUUAAGAUUGAAAACGGUAAAACUAAGCAUCCGCAGCUCCUUUAUGAGGCCAAGUUAUACAAUAUUCUUCAAGGAGGAAGUGGUAUUCCUAGCAUAAGAUGGUCUGGCGUAGACGGGGAGGACAAUGUGCUUGUGCUCGAUUUGUUAGGACCCAGUCUUGAGGACCUGUUGGUGUAUUGUGGGAGGAAGUUCUCAUUGAAGACAGUUCUAAUGUUGGCUGAUCAAAUGAUUACAAGAAUAGAGUACGUGCACUCUAAAGGAUUCUUGCAUAGAGACAUAAAACCUGAUAACUUCCUCAUGGGUCUUGGUCGGAAAGCAAACCAGGUUUACAUGAUUGACUUUGGGCUUGCAAAAAGAUACCGGGAUGCAACAACCAAUCGUCAUAUUCCUUACAGGGAGAAUAAAAACUUGACAGGGACUGCACGUUAUGCAAGUUGCAAUACUCAUCUUGGAAUUGAGCAAAGCCGGCGGGAUGAUUUAGAAUCACUGGGAUAUGUGCUUUUAUAUUUUUUGAGGGGAAGCCUUCCAUGGCAGGGUUUAAAGGCUGCCACAAAGAAGCAGAAGUAUGACAAAAUAUGUGAGAAGAAGUUAUCAACUCCUAUAGAGGUUCUCUGCAAAUCUCAUCCAGUGGAGUUUGCUUCAUACUUUCAUUACUGCCACUCACUGACAUUUGAUCAGCGACCUGAUUAUGGAUUCUUGAAGCGUCUGUUCCGUGACUUGUUUGCUCGUGAAGGAUAUGAAUUUGAUUUCAUAUUUGAUUGGACAAUCAUAAAGUAUCAGCAGUCACAAAAGAAUAGAACCCAGUCUCGAGUAUCUUCUGUUCCUGUAGGUAGCAGUAGUCGUGCAAUGCCACUAGAUGUGGACAAUCAUCAAGGUGGUGUUAUCGUUCCUCUUUCAGCUGAAGUAAAAGAGCGUAUUAGACCUGGAAAUGCAACUGGUCCUGGUUUCCGGAUGCAUUUUAAAUCACCAAUUACGAAGAAUUUAAGUUCUGAGAAUCCUAUUGAGAAGAAUGUGACGAGCGAAGACCACAUGGCCUCUACUUCAUAUGCACUUGCUGGUUCCUCUAAAAGAAAUUCCUCAAAGCUUGCAUUGCCCACUGAUACUGCAAAUCCUGGUAAUGGACAUGGCAACCGAAUGGGUCCUUCAAGUAGCUGGAUAUCGUCACUGCCACGCAUCUCUUCUGCAAAGUGAUACAUGUGUAUUGUUUUGUUGUGGAUCUGCUCAAGAAGAUUCUAGGGACGCAACCUUUGAAGCUGCAAAUGUGUGGUGAUCGGUGUUUUGUUCUUCACUUUGUGUCUGUCGAGAAGAUUCUGGUAAUGCAUCUACAGAGGCUGCAAUGUGCCACUAGUGUGAUGUGCUGCAUUGGUUCCUCUAUUGAUGCCAGCUUGCGUAAUUUUUUCUUAAGGAUUUCUUUUUCCACAACAUUGUUUGCAGGAUGAAAUGUGGCAGGGAAAUGCUUACUGAGGAAGAAGGCAUAUAGGAAAUGUUGGCAUUAUGGGAUUUCCUGUAUGCUGAUCUAGAGAUUUGGAGUUGGCAUGAUUUUUGCACCCACUUGAUGUCAACAAAAAUUGUGAAAUUGGUGGUUUCUCACCAGGCAGGACGGGCUUCCCUCAAGGGAUGUGUUAGAUUAUUCCUUUCUCUUUCCCGGGAGGGUAGUAAAUGCACCACAAUUAGUAGUUGGAUAUGGUGAAAUCUGCAAAAUCCUUUAUGCUGGAUGUUUGGCAUACUGUUAAUAUCUGUGCUCUUCAAUCUGGAGAUCUAAGAACCCAUAACAUGUUGAUGGUCCAUUACUGUUUGAGACGCAUUUUCAUGCUAACUGCCAGGUACAUUACGUUUGAAAGCAGAUUCGUAUCGGAGUUAUUGAAUUCA
Molecule: RNA transcript, 2187 nt
Organism: Juglans microcarpa x Juglans regia
Lineage: Eukaryota; Viridiplantae; Streptophyta; Magnoliopsida; Fagales; Juglandaceae
Gene name: casein kinase 1-like protein 4
Exons: 16
Source: RefSeq, a predicted model, not a curated record